RNAcentral lists this ribosomal RNA (463 nucleotides) under uncultured bacterium. Its description in RNAcentral is "partial 16S ribosomal RNA". It matches the Rfam family "Bacterial small subunit ribosomal RNA", at positions 339 to 795 of the family's 1533-position model. The record is from RNAcentral.
CUACGGGAGGCAGCAGUCGAGAAUAUUUAGCAAUGGGGGAAACCCUGACUAUGCGACGCCGCGUGCAGGAUGAAGGUUUUCGGAUUGUAAACUGCUUUUUUUAGGAAAGAAACCUUGUCGGUUAAUACCCGGCAAGCUGACGGUACCUGAAGAAUAAGCCACGGCUAACUCCGUGCCAGCAGCCGCAGUAAUACGGAGGUGGCAAGCGUUACUCGGAAUCAUUGGGUGUAAAGGGCAAGUAGGCGGCUUAAUAAGCGAGGGGUGAAAUCUUCCGACUCAAUCGGAAAACUGCCUUUCGAACUAUUAGACUUGAGGCAGGAAGAGGGAAAUGGAAUUUCCGGUGUAAGGGUGAAAUCUGUAGAUAUCGGAAAGAACACCAACGGCGAAGGCAAUUUCCUGGUCCUGUCCUGACGCUAAAUUGCGAAAGCUAGGGUAGCAAACAGGAUUAGAUACCCGUGUAGUC